AGCAGGGCGGGCGAUCGCGGCUGCAGGUCCCGAAAGGGCGCAGACGAGGAAAGUCCGGGCUUCACAGGGCAGGAUGCCGGAUAACGUCCGGUGGAGGUGACUCCCAGGCCAGUGCAACAGAGAUAUACCGCGAAGCAGCGGGCCGGUGCCCGCUGCCCGUAAGGGUGGAAAGGCAGUGUAAGAGACUACCGUCUUCGUGGUAACACGGAGAGCCAUGUAAACCCCAUCCGAAGCAAGACCGAAACGAGGGCUGUGAGCUUGCCCGGCUCGCUCUCAGGUGGGUCGCUUGAGGCCGCCGGCGACGGCGGUCCUAGAUAGAUGAUCGUCCAAGACAUAACCCGGCUUACAGCUCUGCUUA
Molecule: RNase P RNA, 358 nt
Filed under: bovine gut metagenome
Description: Bacterial RNase P class A
Rfam family: Bacterial RNase P class A
About the family: Ribonuclease P (RNase P) is a ubiquitous endoribonuclease, found in archaea, bacteria and eukarya as well as chloroplasts and mitochondria. Its best characterised activity is the generation of mature 5'-ends of tRNAs by cleaving the 5'-leader elements of precursor-tRNAs.
Source: RNAcentral